Molecule: long non-coding RNA, 1133 nt
Organism: Meriones unguiculatus (Mongolian gerbil)
Lineage: Eukaryota; Metazoa; Chordata; Mammalia; Rodentia; Muridae
Exons: 2
Source: RefSeq, a predicted model, not a curated record
AGCGGCUCUGAGGAGGCUUCCUCCUGACCUGUUUCUGGCUUCACUGUGGACGGCUUUGGCACCGGUGCGCUCCUGACUGGAAGUCGCGUUCUGGUUGAUAGCUCAGCGCGGGGUUCGCGUCAGCAAGGCUGCCAGAUGUGAAGUGGCUUGAAGAGCCCCGGCGGCAGCAGAUUCCUCAACUUUCCAAUGUGUUGCUGUUUUAUGGAGUGGAGGGGACAGGCUCUGAGAUGUGUUCUGAAGUCCCCAAAUGCUUUCCAAGCCACAGAUGAUGGCUCAAGUAUGUAAUCCCAGCUAAACUGAAUCCUUUGUUUCAUUUCAUUAAGAAAGUAGAGGCAGAAGAAUCGCCAUGAAUCACAGGCCAGCGUGGGAUGCAGUAUGAAACCCUGUUUUUGUGGGUUUUUUUUUUACUUUGUAUUUCUAAAUAUGUGGAUCUCAAUAUAUCAUCAAUCUUUAUAUUUAAUAAAUUAGGGUACAGAUUAUUUGCUAUGUAUCUAAUUUGCUGUUUGUAUAAUACACUGACUUGGUGUAAUACAUUGGGCGGUUCUUGCAUCUGACACCUAUAGCAGUAUUGAAAUAAAAAGAUACAGUGGAUACACCAUGGUGUCCCUGCUACGUAAGAGUCCAAGGCUUACCUCUGUGUCUUAGUGACACUGUCAUAAGCACUGCUUAGCAAAUGUUUACUGUUGAAGCUGGUCCUUUUGGCAUAAGUAUAGCUAUAUUUGUUUCAGGCCUACCAGCCACAUCAUGUCAACAUGUCACUGACAUAAAAGAAUCUCUGUGCAAGGUCAACUUGACCAAAAACUAUGCUUAUGCUCACCAUACUCUGUGGCCUUGUUCCUAGAAAUUCCCUAACCAUAAGCACAGCUGUCCUUAGCCAUAAACUCUACUUGGAACCAAUCAAAUUAAAGGUCAUCUAGAACUGCUUGUCUAAUUAGCAAAAAUAAUGAGUCAGGACUGACCACCCUGUACCACCGUCCACACCCCUACCCCAUAUGUGCUAAUUGUGGUUUUUGCCUUUAUAACCUGACCCUGGAAAACAGGUCAAUGUCACAGUUAGGCUCCCGGGUUCUUCUGUGGCCCUGUUUGCAAUCAGCUUGGAAAAGGCAUCCAAUAAACCUUCCAUAUCUAACUGA